GCUAAAAAUCUAGCUACUUAACCAACACUCUUCAUACCCCCAAUUAAAAUAUUCCACCAACAUAGUAAAGAAGAUUAAAAAAUUCCCAAUAGCUAUAAACACGUACCGCAAGGGAAAGAUGAAAUAUCAAUGAAAUAACUUAAAGCCUAAAAAAGUAGAGACUCCCCCUCGUACCUUUUGCAUCAUGGUUUAGCAAGUCCAACUAGGCAAAACCCCCUUUAGUCUAGCCCCCCGAAACUAAGUGAGCUACUUUAAAGUCGCUUACUGAGCUAACCCAACUGUGUUGCAAAACAGUGGGGUAACUUUAAAAUAGAGGUGAAACACCUAACGAACUUAGUCAUAGCUGGUUUCUCAAGAGAGGAGUCUUAGUUCCGCCUAAAAGGAUAAAAAUACAUUUAAAUAAAACCCUUUCCCCUUUAGAGUUACUCAAAUAAGGUACAGCCUAUUUGACACAGGAUCCAACCUUUACCUCAGGGUAAAUUUUUUCCCCCAUUACCCAAGUAGGCCUAACAGCAGCCACCUUUAAAAAAGCGUCAAAGCUUAGCACUUAAAAUAAUUUAACUAACCCAAUUAACCCCUACAGAUAUAUUGAGAAAUUCUAUAACCCUAUAGAAGCUAUUAUGCUAAAACUAGUAACAAGAGGAUCAACCUCUCUUUAAUGCAAGCAUAAGUCAGAAAGGACCUACCACUGACAUUUACCAAAGAAGUAGAAACUCCACUAGAAAACCCUACUUAAUCAAAUGUUAACCUAACACAAGAGCAUUACCAGAAAGAUUAUAAGAAAAAGAAGGAACUCGGCAAAUAUAAGUUCCGCCUGUUUACCAAAAACAUCGCCUCCUGCACCCAUAAGAGGUCCAGCCUGCCCAGUGACCCAGUUCAACGGCCGCGGUAUCCUAACCGUGCAAAGGUAGCGUAAUCACUUGUUUUCUAAAUAAAGACUAGUAUGAAAGGCACCACGAGAUCCAAGCUGUCUCCCUUUUCUAAUCAGUGAACCUAAUCUCCCCGUGAAAAAGCGGGAAUUACCCAAUAAGACGAGAAGACCCUAUGGAGCUUUAAACACUAUUACACCUGCGAAAUUAACACCCAAAUGUUUUGUGUGCACCAUGAUUAUACGUUUUCAGUUGGGGUGACUGCGGAGAAAACCCAAUCCUCCAUGAUGAACGGCCUUACGCCUAAACAAUAAGUCACAACUUUAAGUAUCAAUAAAUUGACUCCAUUGACCCAAUACAUUGAUUAACGAACCAAGUUACCCUAGGGAUAACAGCGCAAUCCACUUCAAGAGCCCCUAUCGACAAGUGGGCUUACGACCUCGAUGUUGGAUCAGGGUAUCCUAGUGGUGCAGCCGCUACUAAAGGUUCGUUUGUUCAACGAUUAAAACCCCACGUGAUCUGAGU
RNAcentral lists this ribosomal RNA (1394 nucleotides) under Ischnocnema cf. paulodutrai CC-2012. Its description in RNAcentral is "partial 16S ribosomal RNA". It matches the Rfam family "Bacterial large subunit ribosomal RNA", at positions 379 to 2610 of the family's 2925-position model. Lineage: Eukaryota; Metazoa; Chordata; Amphibia; Anura; Brachycephalidae. The record is from RNAcentral.